UUAGUGGCGCACGGGUGCGUAACGCGUGGGAACUGCCCCUUGGUUCGGAAUAACAGUUGGAAACGACUGCUAAUACCGGAUGACGACGUAAGUCCAAAGAUUUAUCGCCGAGGGAUGAGCCCGCGUAGGAUUAGGUAGUUGGUGUGGUAAAGGCGCACCAAGCCGACGAUCCUUAGCUGGUCUGAGAGGAUGAUCAGCCACACUGGGACUGAGACACGGCCCAGACUCCUACGGGAGGCAGCAGUGGGGAAUAUUGGACAAUGGGCGAAAGCCUGAUCCAGCAAUGCCGCGUGAGUGAUGAAGGCCUUAGGGUUGUAAAGCUCUUUUACCCGGGAUGAUAAUGACAGUACCGGGAGAAUAAGCUCCGGCUAACUCCGUGCCAGCAGCCGCGGUAAUACGGAGGGAGCUAGCGUUAUUCGGAAUUACUGGGCGUAAAGCGCACGUAGGCGGCUUUGUAAGUAAGAGGUGAAAGCCCAGAGCUCAACUCUGGAAUUGCCUUUUAGACUGCAUCGCUUGAAUCAUGGAGAGGUCAGUGGAAUUCCGAGUGUAGAGGUGAAAUUCGUAGAUAUUCGGAAGA
This 577-nucleotide ribosomal RNA is filed under the name uncultured Sphingomonas sp. RNAcentral's name for it is "bacterial SSU rRNA". It matches the Rfam family "Bacterial small subunit ribosomal RNA", at positions 92 to 705 of the family's 1533-position model. Lineage: Bacteria; Pseudomonadati; Pseudomonadota; Alphaproteobacteria; Sphingomonadales; Sphingomonadaceae. The record is from RNAcentral.